RNAcentral lists this ribosomal RNA (391 nucleotides) under uncultured soil bacterium. RNAcentral describes it as "bacterial SSU rRNA". It matches the Rfam family "Bacterial small subunit ribosomal RNA", at positions 26 to 414 of the family's 1533-position model. The record is from RNAcentral.
AGAAUCAACGCUGGCGGCGUGCCUCAGACAUGCAAGUCGAACGAUUAAACUUUCCUUCGGGAAAGAUAUAAAGUGGCGCACGGGUGAGUAACACGUAAGUAAUCUGCCUUUGAGUGGGGAAUACCAUCGGGAAACCGAUGCUAAUACCGCAUAAUGCAGCGGCACCGCAAGGUGACAGUUGUUAAAGGAGCAAUCCGCUUAAAGAGGAGCUUGCGGCAGAUUAGCUAGUUGGUAAGGUAACGGCUUACCAAGGCUACGAUCUGUAUCCGGUCUUAGAGGACGGUCGACACACUGACACUGAAUAACGGUCAGACUCUACGGGAGCAGCAGGUCGGAAGUUUUGGCAAUGGGCGAAAGCCUAGACCCAGCAACGCCGACGUGAAGAUGAAGU